GACGAACGCUGGCGGCGUGCCUAAUACAUGCAAGUCGAACGAGAGCGACCGGUGCUUGCACUGGUCAAUCUAGUGGCGAACGGGUGAGUAACACGUGGGUAACCUGCCCAUCAGAGGGGGAUAACAUCCGGAAACGGAUGCUAAAACCGCAUAGGUCUUCGAGCCGCAUGGCUUGAAGAGGAAAAGAGGCGCAAGCUUCUGCUGAUGGAUGGACCCGCGGUGCAUUAGCUAGUUGGUGAGGUAACGGCUCACCAAGGCCGUGAUGCAUAGCCGACCUGAGAGGGUGAUCGGCCACAUUGGGACUGAGACACGGCCCAAACUCCUACGGGAGGCAGCAGUAGGGAAUCUUCCGCAAUGGACGCAAGUCUGACGGAGCAACGCCGCGUGAGUGAAGAAGGUUUUCGGAUCGUAAAACUCUGUUGUUAGAGAAGAACAAGUGCUAGAGUAACUGUUAGCGC
Molecule: ribosomal RNA, 458 nt
Filed under: Granulicatella adiacens
Lineage: Bacteria; Bacillati; Bacillota; Bacilli; Lactobacillales; Carnobacteriaceae
Description: bacterial SSU rRNA
Rfam family: Bacterial small subunit ribosomal RNA
Source: RNAcentral